GAUGAAGAACGCAGCGAAAUGCGAUACGUAAUGUGAAUUGCAAAUUCAGUGAAUCAUCGAGUCUUUGAACGCACAUUGCGCCCGCCAGUAUUCUGGCGGGCAUGCCUGUUCGAGCGUCAUUACAACCCUCAGGCCCCCGGGCCUGGCGUUGGGGAUCGGCGGAGCCCCCCGUGGGCACACGCCGUCCCCCAAAUGCAGUGGCGGUCCCGCCGCAGCUUCCAUCGCGUAGUAGCUAACACCUCGCGACUGGAGAGCGGCGCGGCCACGCCGUAAAACACCCAACUCUUCUGAAGUUGACCUCGAAUCAGGUAGGAAUACCCGCUGAACUUAAGCAUAUCAAUAAGCGGAGGA
This 351-nucleotide unclassified non-coding RNA is filed under the name soil metagenome. RNAcentral describes it as "partial contains 5.8S ribosomal RNA, internal transcribed spacer 2, and large subunit ribosomal RNA". The stretch from base 1 to 119 matches the Rfam family "5.8S ribosomal RNA", at positions 35 to 154 of the family's 154-position model. The record is from RNAcentral.